GGGGUGGGGCUCAGUGGUAGAGCGUUUGCCUAGCAUGUGUGAGGCACUGGGUUCAUGCCUCAGCACCACA
Molecule: transfer RNA, 70 nt
Filed under: Marmota monax (woodchuck)
Lineage: Eukaryota; Metazoa; Chordata; Mammalia; Rodentia; Sciuridae
Description: tRNA.Ala
Source: RNAcentral